This 68-nucleotide transfer RNA is filed under the name Poecilocoris nepalensis. RNAcentral's name for it is "tRNA-Val". The record is from RNAcentral. Lineage: Eukaryota; Metazoa; Arthropoda; Insecta; Hemiptera; Scutelleridae.
CAAAUUAAGCUAUAGUAGCGAUUAUUAUUUACAUUAUUAAUCUAUUUGUGCAAUUCAAAUUAAUUUGA